This 59-nucleotide transfer RNA is filed under the name Camelus bactrianus (Bactrian camel). It matches the Rfam family "tRNA", at positions 7 to 64 of the family's 71-position model. Rfam says of the family: Transfer RNA (tRNA) molecules are approximately 80 nucleotides in length. Their secondary structure includes four short double-helical elements and three loops (D, anti-codon, and T loops). Further hydrogen bonds mediate the characteristic L-shaped molecular structure. tRNAs have two regions of fundamental functional importance: the anti-codon, which is responsible for specific mRNA codon recognition, and the 3' end, to which the tRNAs corresponding amino acid is attached (by aminoacyl-tRNA synthetases). tRNAs cope with the degeneracy of the genetic code in two manners: having more than one tRNA (with a specific anti-codon) for a particular amino acid; and 'wobble' base-pairing, i.e. permitting non-standard base-pairing at the 3rd anti-codon position. Lineage: Eukaryota; Metazoa; Chordata; Mammalia; Artiodactyla; Camelidae. RNAcentral also lists the same sequence under 2 other names. The record is from Rfam by way of RNAcentral.
AUAGCUCAGUGGUAGAGCACAUAUUUAGCAUGCAUGAGGUCCUGGGUUCAAUCCUCAGU